This 549-nucleotide ribosomal RNA is filed under the name uncultured Glomus. Its description in RNAcentral is "SSU rRNA". It matches the Rfam family "Eukaryotic small subunit ribosomal RNA", at positions 548 to 1098 of the family's 1831-position model. Lineage: Eukaryota; Fungi; Glomeromycota; Glomeromycetes; Glomerales; Glomeraceae. The record is from RNAcentral.
UUGGAGGGCAAGUCUGGUGCCAGCAGCCGCGGUAAUUCCAGCUCCAAUAGCGUAUAUUAAAGUUGUUGCAGUUAAAAAGCUCGUAGUUGAAUUUCGGGGUCAUCAGGUUGGUCGUGCCAAUGGUAUGCACUGGCCUUGGUGAUCCCUCCUUCUUGAAGAACCGUGAUGCCAUUAAUUUGGUGCUGCGGGGAAACAGGACUGUUACUUUGAAAAAAUUAGAGUGUUUAAAGCAAGCUAACGCUUGAAUACAUUAGCAUGGAAUAAUAGAAUAGGACGCUCGAUCCUAUUUUGUUGGUUUCUAGGGUUGACGUAAUGAUUAAUAGGGAUAGUUGGGGGCAUUAGUAUUCAAUUGUCAGAGGUGAAAUUCUUGGAUUUAUUGAAGACUAACUACUGCGAAAGCAUUUGCCAAGGAUGUUUUCAUUAAUCAAGAACGAAAGUUAGGGGAUCGAAGACGAUCAGAUACCGUCGUAGUCUUAACCAUAAACUAUGCCGACUAGGGAUCGGAUGAUGUUAAUUUUUUAAUGACUCAUUCGGCGCCUUACGGGAAAC